CCUCCAAAAUCCCCAGCUAUUCCCUGAGUGUCAGAGGGCCAUGCAGUUAUGGGAUUGCAUCUCCUAUAAAUGAUCAGAUGGUGUCCAGCUGGCCUUGCAAAGAACAUCAGAAUUUUCCGCUCCAGAGGGGAAGGUGUGGUAUUAUUUAACCUGAGACCUAUAGGUUCUGAAAAAGUUUGGACCUGUUGCUCAAAACCAAAAAUGUUUUGCAAGAAUACUGGUUUUGUCAUUGCAGGAAAUCUUGCAAUUCAAAGGAAUCUGUCAAACAAUCAAAGUAAUCUAUUUUCUAAUAAUGCAGCCUACAACUAAAUCUCCAAGACUUCAGCUGAUGGAACACAGAGGAACCAUAGCUCAUGAUUAGUCUUGGUGGUUAUGGGAAAUACUUUUCAAAGGAGGGAAGAACUGUUACUCCUCAAGACUCUUUUUCCACACUCAGUAAUUAAUCUUCCAAAGAUAUCCCACUCUCAUCUUCCUGCCCUUUUCCUGAGGUUCUUUUCUGCAAGAGGAUUUGGGCACAUAUUCUGGAUCUCUGCUCAAAUUCCCCAAUGGGCCCAGCCUCAGAUUCUCCAUAAAAAAAAGCCAACCUCUUGGAACCACUUCUAAACAGGUUUUCAAAAGUUCAUUACGUAAGUUAUAAUCUAUCUCACAUUACUCUAACCUCGUGAUGCAAAUGUCAGCAUGCUAAUGGAUAGGUCAUGUCCAACCUUCUCCUUCAUCAUAUGGCAAGAAGGGACUUACACAAUCAUUCACUUUAAACAUUUCUGCUACAGCUGAAGCAACCAGAAGACUAACGUGUCUAUUUAUAGUAUUUCUAAUUAUGUGUGUAUUAAAUAGCAGUGGCACUUAAUAUGUGUUUUAGAAUAACUUCCUUUUCCACUGACAGGUUUUUUUCCAAGCUGUCUCCAAUUAUCUCAAGAGGCUGGGCUCAACAUACUAACAUACCACUCACACAUAUGCUUGGGACAGUCUCAGAAUAGUAAUGUCACUCUGCCUAGAGACUGGCAACUUUAGAAGAGAUGUUCAGAUACCACCUCAGGUAACCUAGAGAAGUCACGAACACAUGCAAUGUAAAUUCAGCAUGAUUUCUGCUUCUCUUUUUUCCGAGUUAUUCCACUGUAGGAAACCUACAGUGCUUUGCUCACUAUUACUCCUUCUGUUAGCAGUCCUUCAAACUUUCAAAAUAAGAUUUUGACAUUCACUUCUAUGAUUCCAUUCAGACUGUCACAAAAUUCUGUGGAAUUCUGUGAAUCGGUUCUUGAUUUUUUAAACAUCAUCUUACAGACCAAUAUGAAAGAUUUUUUGACAUAAGCAUUAAAAUCCAGACUGAGUUUUGGUAUGAGAGCAAGGAAAUGUGGGAACAAAAGCUGUUUCAAAAUGGUGGUAGGAGGAGAUUAAAAAACAAAAAUCUCCUUUGCAGAGGCAGUAUUUAAAAGGCCCAAUGUACCACUUUUUAUUUAAAUUUAUUAUCAGAAAUUACAUAUCCAGAAUAAACUAGAAAUUGCACAAAGUGUGUCAAAUAUUGUCAUAUUAAGUAACUAUUAUAUUAAUUGAUUUAAAUGGGGUUAUAAAAUACAACUGAUCCUAUGAAUCCAAUAUUCCUUUUUACAUAUUUUGAAAAUCUUUCAGCAUCAACAGUGGUACUGUUGUUGCCGUUUGACCUCUUCCAGAAAGAAAUUAUAGGAAGCUAAUUUUGCUCUGAAAAACUGAGGACAUAAGAAAGCAGAGAAAGAAGGUGCAACCUUCCACUUCAUAGUCAGCAGUAGCAAAAAUAAUUUAGUUCAUAUUUAACUACUUGAUAGCUCUACCUUUGAACGUUAUGGUCACCUUGUUGGAACAGAGGAUUCCUUUCAUAGCACUAAAGUGGAAAAAUGUGCAUUUACAUUUUGAAUCCUAAGAAAGGCUCUCAGUGUUUUCCUAAGGAAACGCUUUUUGACGGCAUCAUUCUUCAUGUUGUUUCAUUAUUUCAGAUAGACUUGUUCCCACUGUGCAAAAGACUCCUCAGCAUCUGGUAAAGUUAUUUUCCUAUUUUCGUGGAAACAGGCCAAGAUGUGCAGUAACAGCUAGUAUCUCUGUAAUAAUGAAGUAACUCUUUCCUGGAAAGUUAGAAGUUUAAAAUUAUUUUUAAAUAAAUAUCUAAAAAGCAAUAUUACAAUGUAAAAAACACAGUUCAUUGCAUUACUCCCUUAAAAGAAAAUACUAGAAAUAUGUGUGUGGAAGGAAAUAUUAUUAUGCAGCAUAUUAUUAUUUAGUAGAGAGAAAGUCAUUGUACAUACUUACCCCUGUUCUGCUAGUCCAUAUGGUUACAUCUACACUGUGCCACAAGUAGAGGUCUGGGUCCAUGAUCAUUUACAGGCCUGCCUUGCACAUUUUUUUAGCAUGAACAGCUGAGAAAACUUGGUGUUAUUUCAGGGAUCACAUUCAAAGCAGGGAAAUCAGGUUUAUGCCAUCCCUUCAUGAGGACCUUUGUUCGCAAUUCUAGGUGUGGACGGGGCAGGUGUGCUGUGCCAUGCCGUGCCCUGCUGUCUCUCUGGAUUUCACAGAGAUGCCACAUACUUGUAGGGUCCCUCCAAUGAGGCCCCUGUUGUGAGGGGUAAGCAGAACCCCUGGGCAGCCUAAAGCAAGGCUGCUUGUGGGGUUGCACCCAUCCCGGCAGCUGAGCAGGGUCAGUGCAGCACACGCUUGCUGACCACUGUAACAGCACUGUGGAUGUGAUUUAUAUCAGCAUGAACUGUAGACAAGAUGCCAAGUAGAUGUGACAAGAAAUAAGCAGGAAAAGUGGGAAUGUGGGAAAACCUUUUCACUUCUCCAUCAUUAUUGUCCACCAAAAGCUAAUGGGAGAGAGAGGAACGAAAACCAGAUCUCCCAUAUCUCUGCUCCAUGAGACCUCUCCUGUUUCUCUCUCUUGUUUUUUUAUCACAUUGAGGGCGGAUUUGUUGAUUUUAAAAUAUCUUUAGGACUACUGCAGAUAAGCUGAAGCUAACAGACUAUACUCAAGUAUUUUGCUUGAACUCUAGACCUUACUCUGGCACAUCUUCCUUUUAUUGUAUUACUGUCUCCUCUCUUACCAUAAAAAGAAUGAAAAUGUACACUAACCAUUUUAAUUGGUUUACUGGGCUCAUGAUGACUUUGACAACUGAUGUAUGUUUGAUAACUACAUGGCACUCAUUUAUUAAUGUUUUGGUCAACAUUUCUCCACAUUUCAUUCCAGGAAAUCCUUCUAUUCAAUCCAGUCUCCAGAGGUGGAUAAGCUGGGUGUGGGUACAGCUUGCUGAUAUUACCAAGAUUUUGCUUAUGCUGAAAACUGAUGAUCUGGGAGAAAACUCUUCUAAGAAUACUAAAAAUAUCGCUUAUCUUGUGCUUUUUACCUGCUUGAUAUUCUUGCUUCUCUAUCUGCUUUGGUCUUUUUCCCUUUUCCUCUCUCUACAUGUACACAUAAAUGCACAAACACCACUACCUCCACUUGGAACAUUCCCUCGUCUCAUCUCGUCUCAUCUCAUCUCAUCUCAUCUCAUCUCAUCUCAUCUCAUCUCAUCUCAUCUCAUCUCACCUCAUCAUCUCAUCUCUCCUUCGUUCUGCCUUCAACAAUCCAGUAUUUAACUCCUGGAAUCUCACCUGACUUCACUCUGCCCAUGUCCUAAGCUUAGUACCUACCUGGCACUAUCUCCCAUGAAGGCCGGUGCCUCUCUCUGGAUGGGUACACAGAGGGGUGAAGAGCUGUCAGAAUGCAGAAAGAAAACCCUUGCACACCACAUAGAUUUUAGGCAUAGCUGAAGCAGUCUAGACAGUAGUGCCCGCCCAGCAUUCAGAUGGAAGAACAGGGAGGGAUCAUUUCAGGGGAUCAUGGUGAGAUUUUUUUCUCAUAAAACCCAUGUCAAGAAACGCUAGAAAUGAAGGAAAAAGCUAUCCAUACACAUAUCCCAGUGUAUAUAAUGGUCAAAUACACACUGUCUCUAGACUAGAAUUUUUUUUCUGUGGUAAGAAGACUAGGGCGAAGUGAGAUCUUGUAAAAAUGUUCACCUUGAAUUUAACAUGGACAGUGUUUUACGAAUCUCAAGCAACAGGAAAAGUUGUUUUGUUUUGUUUGGGGUUUUUUUUCACCUAUUUUCACUCACAGUGCUAGCCAGGAACAGAAAACAUGAUCAGAAAGGACAAAACAAACUAGGAAGUUUUAAUUUUCCCAUAGGUUAUGGUGUAUUUUUUCACAACAAAGGAUUCCCAUUUCUCUCCCACUACAGGAAAUCACUGAUUUACAAACAUUCACCAUGGGACUGGUGGGAACAUGGAGCACAGGGAACUGUACUUCCAUUUAAAAAGCAGACCCCGUUUUUGGACUGUACUGAGUAAGCAGUGUUCUGCUGAUACUGCAAAACAAACAAACUACCUAACUUCCUGCUACAUUCUGCACUGACUAAAAAUCUCUUCCAAGGCUCAUGUCUGUGUAACUCUUAGAGGCGUUUAAAAAUUAUUGGGAGACGGAAUGGUUGUUGUUUUGGGGGAGGGUUUUAAUUAAAAAUUUUUGUAAUUCAUAAAUGUUAAAAGUCCUUUGUGUUGCUGGAUAGUUGCCAGAUAUGAAAUCUUUAACCCUGCUGAAAAUUUCAUGUAGUGAUGUCUUGAGAGUAAUUAGGAACAAUAAGAAUCAUGCUUAAUGGAGGGCAAAGAGAAUUUUCUGUGAAGGCUGAUAUUUGCAAGUUUCAUUUUCAUUGAAUGAAAUUUUUCAUUUGACAAACUUCAAAUAAAGGAGCAGCAAUCUAAGAGUUUAGUAAAAAGAAAUCAUGAAUCAUGCAGUGAUUAAUACAUGUAGUCCUUGCAUAUUACCUACCUGUUGCAUCUUCUUUCUGAGACACUUUGAUGAAAGGUUAUAUUGUGCCCUUUAAAGAAGACACCAAAGGCAGCAUGGCUGAGUUUAGAGCUAAUAACCUCCAAAGGGUUACCAGGUAAGCAGCAACAUACUAUCUGGUUUUGAACAUCUGGAUUCACAUGAGAAAACUUGUAGAGGAGCCUAAACAUUAGUUUGAUUAGAUAUCUGGUUACGACUUCAUAUGGCUCCAACCUGCUGGGAGAUUUCCCUUCCAAAAGCCUCACAUUCCUGCAGUAUCGCAACAAAUGACGCCAUCUUGAAAUCACUAAGAGUGAAAGUACUGUCCAGCAGUACAUUCAUGAUAUGUUGAUAAAGCAGUUUAAACUACAGCACAUGUAUUCUAUCUAAUAAAUUUGAACUGAUGAAGUAAAAUCCAUACAAUCUAGUGCAAAGAAUUUCUGCAGGAACAUGCAGUGACUUAAUAUGUGUGCACAUGUGUGCAGAUCUAAGGAUAUUCCUAAGUCCUUGCAGUAACCCAUUAUAAAUGGAAGGAACAGAGAUGUAGCAGAAUGGACUGAAGAAAAAAGAAUGCAAAACAGCAAGUAAAAAUGGCUUUGUGGGGCAGAUACAACAGACAAUUUAGGUUCUUAGCAUACACCUAGGAUUUAAACGGUGAUUAUGCAUUUAAAUCUGAUUCCCAGACACCCUCCGCUCUUCAUUCUUUCCCUUAGAGUCCUCUGCAUUCUUCUAAGGGUGAUGAGAAUUUUCCAAGUGACAAUGAACUGGAUAAUUUGAUGCCUAGAUCAAUUUCAGCAUCCAGAAGACAUAUUUCUGCUAAAAUAUGUGAGGUGGCCAGUCUGAUUGGUAUUCUCAAACCAUUCAUGAAACUCUCCUGGAGCACUGGGGUCUCUACAAAUGUGUUAGCAAAGUUGCAUUCUGCUCAGAGAGAGGACCUGCAGAGGAGCUUCUGUCUGUACACUCUCUCCACAUUAUACCCUAAAGGUCAGUAGACUUACAUAUUGCCUUCUAUUCAGGACCAUGCUAACUACCAUGUGAGACCACUGCUGUAUUUUGCUAAAUAAUUUUUCUAUGUGAAACACAAGAGUGAUACUCAGAACAGACCCUAGAGACCAUGAGUUUUUGCUCUUAGAGAAACACAAGUAGCAAACUACAAAAGAUUGCUGAUUCUUCAUAGAUUUUCUUCCUGACUCAAUGUUUCUUGAAAUUUUUCCUGCACACUUUCAAUAAAUGCAAUGAAAAAUAUCCUCCUUUACUUUUCUUUAGUCUCUGAAUUGAAUUUUAUUACAGGUGGUGAAAGUAAUUCAUAUAAAAGCCUUUAAGCAGAGCAAAUCACUAACCAAAGUUCCUAUAUUGUUCUUCCUAUACAAAUGCUCUAAGCAGUAACCUAUACUACAAAAGACAGGCAUCACCAGCUGUGCUUCUGGCCAUAUCUUAAAAAAUAGCCAAGUCCUGCCCAGGUGUUUUUUAAAGCAAGAGUUUAGAGUUGUGCUCUGAGAAUUGCACCUCCAUAGAAUAAGGAGAUCCUUCUGAAAGCCCAGAGUAGAUUAUGCCUGGGCUCCAGAAAGGGGAAACAUUCAGAAAGCUGUCUACUCUCAGCAGUUCCUUUUUUAGCAUUCCUACCACUUUGCUAGUUUCAGGCAGCAGCCUGUUGAUUUUAGGCAAUCACAUUCUUAAAGUAUUCCAGGUUUUGAAUUUUGUUUUGGUGCACUCCAUUGCCAGAAACACUGAAGAGGGACACAUGAUGCUAGUUCAGUG
Molecule: long non-coding RNA, 6574 nt
Organism: Corvus hawaiiensis (hawaiian crow)
Lineage: Eukaryota; Metazoa; Chordata; Aves; Passeriformes; Corvidae
Exons: 3
Source: RefSeq, a predicted model, not a curated record